This 837-nucleotide long non-coding RNA is filed under the name Homo sapiens (human). RNAcentral's name for it is "long non-coding RNA NONHSAT178580.1". Lineage: Eukaryota; Metazoa; Chordata; Mammalia; Primates; Hominidae. The record is from RNAcentral.
UGUUGUAUAAGAGGAUAGCACACACCAUUAUGAACGGAGUAAAGAACUAAAAUCACAGGACACUACAUACAGACGAAGUAUCAUGCUUUUGUGGAAGUUCCAGGGUAGCCCACAAGCAGAUCCAAAGGUAUCCCUGAAACUGAAAGACGUUGCAGAGCUCACUGUGACCAAACAGAAGAGAAAAGAAGGACAAAGACGUGGUAAAACUAUCUGAGAUGGUGAGAAUGAGCAAAAACAACAGGGAGGAGAAGCGGCGCAGCCUAGACAAGUGGACCCUGACCCAGGAGGCCUAGGAGAAAAUGCAGGAGAAGCAGCAAAUGGAAAGGUUCCAGGAGGAAGCAUCCACCAUGCACCAGCAGAGUGUGGAGGACUUCAACACACAGCUGGAUACACUCAGGGAGCGUAUCCAAGUCAUUUGAUGGCAACAGUGCUCAAAGGGAAGGAAGAUAAUUAAAAUGGAAGACAGAGCCAUCAAAAACCAUGUGGAGGAAAGUCACUACAUGAGCCUAGACUGAAAGAAUGUACACAGGCAGAUAUAAAUGCCUAUUUCAUUUAACGUAUUUUGCUUAGGAUCUCCUUGUUAUAAAACCUUGGCUUUUGGUCAAAUAACACAGACCAGUAAGAAAUGAGGUUGGAAGAUGGGAAUAUUUAGGAGCAGUAGGAAUGGCUCUCCUGACACCAGUUCUUGAACUAUAAAUGUGUUUGGAUUCCCAGAGGUUUUUACACUCUACUAACAUUUAUGAUUUGUGAGAGGUAAGCCUUUCUUUUGUAAGUUGGAAAAAAAGACUGUUUGUGAAGGGGAGAGGAGAAUGGCCAUAACUGCAAUCAUCUCUCUAG